Molecule: ribosomal RNA, 451 nt
Filed under: uncultured Fibrobacter sp.
Lineage: Bacteria; Pseudomonadati; Fibrobacterota; Fibrobacteria; Fibrobacterales; Fibrobacteraceae
Description: partial 16S ribosomal RNA
Rfam family: Bacterial small subunit ribosomal RNA
Source: RNAcentral
ACGGAAGGCAGCAGUAGGGAAUAUUGCACAAUGGGGGGAACCCUGAUGCAGCAACGCCACGUGUGGGAAGAAGCAUUUCGGUGUGUAAACCACUGUCGUGAGGGAAUAAUGCUUGGCUCCGGCCAAGUUGAAUGUACCUCGAGAGGAAGCACCGGCAAACUUCGUGCCAGCAGCCGCGGUAAUACGAGGGGUGCAAGCGUUGUUCGGAAUCACUGGGCGUAAAGGGAGCGUAGGCGGAGAUGCAAGCAGUCUGUACAAUACCGGGGCCCAACCCCGGACCUGCAGUCCGGACUGCACCUCUUGGAUAGUUCAGGGGCAAGCGGAAUUCCUGGUGUAGCGGUGGAAUGCGUAGAGAUCAGGAAGAACACCGAUGCCGAAGGCAGCUUGCUGGGGACUAAUCGACGCUCAUGCUCGAAAGUGCGGGUAGCAAACAGGAUUAGAUACCCUGGUA